GUUGGGAGCUCUCAGCAGCAGAACUGGAGAUGGCAGGAGUUGGAAUGUGGGCCAGGAUGUUUUCCAGUCUAAUGCAGCUAUGAAAACUUUAUGCACCGUAUUCUGAGUUUGCCUUAAAAAAAGAAGAAAAAAAAUCAAUAAAAUGUUAAUCCUAAGCAUGCUUACUGUGACAAAUUUAGUUAGUGUCUGGCAGAAAAGGGAGGAUAAAAAUAGUCACUUAAUUUUUAGUCUGCAAAUUGUAAGAUUGCAAACAGCAUUUGCUCUCAAAGAUGAUUCUUUACUUUGUUCACACAGCUGGAUUUUUGUGAUGUCUUGUGCAUGCUUAAAGAAAAUCACAGUCUAAUUGUUCAAACUUCAAACCUCCUGACGAUGAUGCAGCUAUUGUAGCAACUAGAAUGGAUAGAAAAAACAUUAGUAACAAAUGAUGCAAGUGCCCCCUAUGAUCAUAGAGUGCUGGAAAGCAGGAAAAUGAUUUAAUUAUGAUUGGAACAGUCAAAAAGCAAGAAACAGGCACUUUUAGAGCACAGAUUUAUCCUUUUAUUUUAGGCUGAGGAGGCUGACACCCUCUCUGAUCAGGCUUGGUGGGUUGGAUCCUGGUUUGGGCCUAGGGAUGGUUCCUCCAACAAGUUUUGGCAGCUAAUCAGACAGUUGGACUUCAAAUGCCUCUGAGGCAUUCACCUGAUGCACUUCCCAGCCACCGUGAUUUUACAGCAUGGCACAGUAAUGAAGCAGAUCAUGUGGCAAGAGAUCUGUCACUUCUUUCUUUUCUAAAACUUCAUCUUGUCCUGACUAUCACACAAACUGUGUACCGUCCUAAAGUGGUAUAACAAAGCAAACUCACCCUGAAAGAGCAGGUAACAUUCUGCAGCGGAUUGGAUGAAAAGUGUUUCCUCUGGGUGAAUGAAACCCCAUCUGAAUGCAACGAACAAACACUGUGUGUGUCGGUAUGCAUUAUGUAUGUACAGUACUUGCACUGUGACUGUUACUUUUUAAUUUUCUUAGCUGUUCUGCAUUUAGGAAAAUCAGUUUUGCUCUCUUCCUUCAGAAUGUUUUAAUCAUAUUUAUAGCAUUUAUAAAAAUCUCAUAUCUUCUUACAUUUCCUAAGACCUGAGGUAUGUAGUAAAUUUCUAGUAAGAAGCUUCUCCUUCUUUCCAACCUAACAGGAGUUCGGAC
Gallus gallus (chicken) is the source of this 1173-nucleotide long non-coding RNA. NCBI's taxonomy places the organism in Eukaryota, Metazoa, Chordata, Aves, Galliformes, Phasianidae. The record is from Ensembl.